GAUGAACGCUGGCGGCGUGCUUAACACAUGCAAGUCGAACGAAGCAAUUUUCUACGAUCCCUUCGGGGUGACGGAUUAUUGACUGAGUGGCGGACGGGUGAGUAACGCGUGGGUAACCUACCUUGUACAGGGGGACAACAGUUGGAAACGACUGCUAAUACCGCAUAAGCGCACAGCAUCGCAUGAUGCAGUGUGAAAAGUUUUUUCGGUACAAGAUGGACCCGCGUCUGAUUAGCUAGUUGGUGAGGUAACGGCCCACCAAGGCGACGAUCAGUAGCCGACCUGAGAGGGUGACCGGCCACAUUGGGACUGAGACACGGCCCAAACUCCUACGGGAGGCAGCAGUGGGGAAUAUUGCACAAUGGGCGAAAGCCUGAUGCAGCGACGCCGCGUGAGCGAAGAAGUAUUUCGGUAUGUAAAGCUCUAUCAGCAGGAAGAUAAUGA
Molecule: ribosomal RNA, 444 nt
Filed under: bacterium MD2003
Lineage: Bacteria
Description: bacterial SSU rRNA
Rfam family: Bacterial small subunit ribosomal RNA
Source: RNAcentral